This 787-nucleotide ribosomal RNA is filed under the name uncultured bacterium. RNAcentral describes it as "bacterial SSU rRNA". It matches the Rfam family "Bacterial small subunit ribosomal RNA", at positions 8 to 772 of the family's 1533-position model. The record is from RNAcentral.
AGAGUCCCUUCCUGGCUCAGAGCGAACGUUAGCGGCAGGCCUAACACAUGCAAGUCGCACGAGAAAAGGGCUUCGGCCCCCUGUAAAGUGGCGGACGGGUGAGUAACACGUGGGUAAUGUACCCCUCGGCGGGGGAUAACAACCCGAAAGGGUUGCUAAUACCGCAUAUGUCGAGAGAUUUUUCAGAGUCUCUCGAGAAAGGUGGCCUCUUCAUGAAAGCUACCACCGAAGGAUCAGCCCGCGGCCCAUCAGCUAGUUGGCGGUGUAAUAGACCACCAAGGCAAAGACGGGUAGCUGGUCUGAGAGGAUGAUCAGCCACACUGGAACUGAGACACGGUCCAGACUCCUUCGGGAGGCAGCAGUGGGGAAUAUUGGGCAAUGGGCGAAAGCCUGACCCAGCCAUGCCGCGUGAGUGAUGAAGGCCUUCGGGUCGUAAAGCUCUGUGGGGAGGGAAGAAAAUACCUUGGCUAAUAUCCAAGGGAACUGACGGUACCUCCUUAGCAAGCACCGGCUAACUCCGUGCCAGCAGCCGCGGUAAUACGGAGGGUGCAAACGUUGCUCGGAAUCAUUGGGCGUAAAGCGCACGUAGGCGGUUCGUUAAGUCGGAUGUGAAAGCCCUGGGCUCAACCCAGGAAGGGCAUUCGAAACUGGCGGACUGGAGUAUGGAAGAGGGUCGCGGAAUUCCCGGUGUAGAGGUGAAAUUCGUAGAUAUCGGGAGGAACACCAGUGGCGAAGGCGGCGACCUGGGCCAAUACUGACGCUGAGCUGCGAAAGCGUGGGGAGCAAA